AGGACGAACGCUGGCGGCGUGCUUAACACAUGCAAGUCGAGCGGAAAGGCCCUUCGGGGUACUCGAGCGGCGAACGGGUGAGUAACACGUGAGUAAUCUGCCCCUAGCUCUGGGAUAGCUCCGGGAAACCGGGAAUUAAUACCGGAUAUGACCACUUUAGACAUCUGUUGUGGUGGAAAGAAUUUCGGCUAGGGAUGAGCUCGCGGCCUAUCAGCUUGUUGGUGGGUAACGCCUACCAAGGCGACGACGGUA
RNAcentral lists this ribosomal RNA (252 nucleotides) under uncultured bacterium. Its description in RNAcentral is "partial small subunit ribosomal RNA". It matches the Rfam family "Bacterial small subunit ribosomal RNA", at positions 26 to 285 of the family's 1533-position model. The record is from RNAcentral.